AUACGUAGGUGGCAAGCGUUGUCCGGAAUUAUUGGGCGUAAAGCGCGCGCAGGCGGCCUUUUAAGUCUGAUGUGAAAGCCCACGGCUCAACCGUGGAGGGUCAUUGGAAACUGGGAAACUUGAGUGCAGAAGAGGAGAGUGGAAUUCCACGUGUAGCGGUGAAAUGUGUAGAGAUGUGGAGGAACACCAGUGGCGAAGGCGACUCUCUGGUCUGUAACUGACGCUGAGGAGCGAAAGCGUGGGGAGCGAACAGGAUUAGAUACCCUGGUAGUCCACGCCGUAAACGAUGAGUGCUAAGUGUUAGGGGGUUUCCGCCCCUUAGUGCUGCAGCUAACGCAUUAAGCACUCCGCCUGGGGAGUACGGCCGCAAGGCUGAA
Molecule: ribosomal RNA, 377 nt
Filed under: uncultured bacterium
Lineage: Bacteria
Description: bacterial SSU rRNA
Rfam family: Bacterial small subunit ribosomal RNA
Source: RNAcentral